RNAcentral lists this unclassified non-coding RNA (163 nucleotides) under Oenococcus oeni. RNAcentral describes it as "T-box". The record is from RNAcentral. Lineage: Bacteria; Bacillati; Bacillota; Bacilli; Lactobacillales; Lactobacillaceae.
UAAUAGUCAACUUAGAGGAGUAGACGAUAACGUUUAUAGAGAUCUGAUGGUUGGUGAAAAUCAGAACGCUUAAAUCGAAGGUUACUAAGAUAUAGAAAACGGAAGAUAUUAAGUGGCUUGGUAACAAGCAACUUGGGUGGUACCACGCAAAAGCGUCCCGAGA